CGUAACACAAGUGUGAACCGCGGCAGCGCGCGCUAUCAGUGUACCUCACACGAGCCCUGCUCGUUACCCGCCCGGUAUAUGCCCCGUGUGGCUGGUCUGGACCGAGGUCUGCCCGAACUGUUUUAAUGUUUUAAAGAAAAAAUCUGUGGUGUGCCCCUGUGCCGUUGAACAGCUACAGAACAUACAAGAGGAUUUCCAAAACCAGAACUCUACUGAAGUUGUCAUGAUGAAAAAUAAUCUUCAAGUGCUGAUAGAUCAACUCAUGAAAUCAGGCAAAUCCAAAAAACAAACCAGGGCGCUGGGCAAACAGGAAUGCAAGUAUGAGUGCAAGGAUCCCAUGACAUCACAAAAAGAUUUAUAUAAUGUUAUCCAGACCAUCCAUAAUAAAAGAUGUUUCAAAGGUUCAAGAAAAUGAAGAAUGCCUAGAGUCUGUGAAAUUGCAUUAUUGGUUGAACAUAUAUCUAGUUAAAAUUCUAUACCGUGGCACAGAGUUAUCAAAACUCAUGAUGAGUGGUAGCAAAACCUGUGCAGAGGAAACACCGAUCAGUUUUCCAUAGCAACCAAUCAGAUUGCUUCUUUUAUUUUUCAGAGGCCAUUUUUAAAAUAAAAAAAACAAUCCAGUUGCUAAGGACAACACUUUUCCUUUGUACAGAUUUUGCUAAAUCUCACCCAUAGUUUUUGUCUCUGUGAGUUAAAAAAAAAAAUCAGGGCCUCUAUGUUGAUAUAAUACCUCACUUUUGUACUUCCAUCACAUUUCCUUUUACUCUGUGGAAACUUUACUUGUUAUUCGAUUUUUAAAAAAUCUUAGAAGUUUAUGUUUCAUAGUGAAACAUUCAUUCUGUUGUGUCAGUAUUAUAUUUGUAGAUUUAAAAUGUGCAUAGACAGGGUUUAUCUGUUGAAAACAAAGCCUUUUUGAAUGAACCCCAGACUGGAGAUCACCCAAAAUCUGACUGCCUCAGCAUCAAACUUAGAAACCCUGCUGGGAAAUUGAAGUUUCAAAUAAAAGUCUGAAUAUAAAAUACAUGAAUUGUCCUCAAAAGUAAUAGCUACUAACAGAAGCGGGGGUGCUUUUUUUUAGUUUAAAAAAAAAUAUUUAUAAUGUUGUUGACAUUUUUGUUCUACAUUUUUGUAUUGACAUUACAUUAGUUCUACAAAGUAAUUUUUGCAUAAAGCUGAAAUUCCUAUCAUCUUUAUUGUACAAAGUGCAUUGAAAGCUUUUAAGCUGACCUAUGAAACUCAUUCAAUCCUUAAAGGGGUACUCCGGCGCUAAGACAUCUUAUCCCCUAUGCAAAGGAUAGGGGAUAAGAUGCCUGAUUGCGGGGGUCCCGCCGCUGGGGAACCCCGUGAUCUUGCAUGCAGCACCCUGUUAUAAUCAGUCCCCGGAGCAUGUUCGCUAUCACACCCCCUCCAAUAGGCUUGCAUUGAGGGGAUGGAGCGUGACAUCACAUGGGGCGGGGCCGUGAUGUCACAUUGCUUCGGCCCCCGUGAGCGCCAGUAAUCAGACCCGGAGCGAACACGCUCCGGGGACUGAUUAUAACAGGGUGCUGCGUGCAAGAAAGGGGUCCCCAGGGGAUAAGAUGUCUUCACACCGGAGUACCCCUUUAAUAUGAAAGUAACCAAUUGGCUGUUCAGUCAACACUGAGAAUUCAGGUAUUGAUUUCAACAACAAUAAACCAAUAUGUUGAUUAUUUAUUUAAUGUCCACCCUUAUUUAUAUACUUCAACUAUGCAACAAAUUAUAUUAAAAGGCAUAGUACUAUUGAAGUAACAACAUGUGAAAACCAAUAUGUAAUUUACAGAUUUACCACUUUUAUUUUAAUUUACAACUGUGUUUAUAUUUUUAUAUGAUGUAUUUUUUAAUAUUAUAUUUGAUAAGAAUGUAUUUUUGUUUACAUGGUGUGAUGACAAAAAUGUAUCUUAAAUAUCAAUAUUGCUAUUUAUUUAUUUUUAAAAUUAUUAAUUUAUUAUUCUUAUUUUAAUGUAUUAUUUAAUAUUUAUUAUAUAUGAAACUGUCAGUAUUUUUAUGCCAGGUGAACAACAGUAAAACACAAUGUUUAAAAUCUGCAAUGUUAUGUCUUAUUUAAUUCGUCAUACUGCACGGUAAACUGACAUUUUAUAAAACUUUGAUUAAAAUACAUAUUUAUUUCAUAAUGCUUGGU
Long non-coding RNA from Hyla sarda, 2158 nucleotides. RefSeq lists it as uncharacterized. The transcript has 4 exons. The record is from RefSeq and is a predicted model, not a curated record. NCBI's taxonomy places the organism in Eukaryota, Metazoa, Chordata, Amphibia, Anura, Hylidae.